CAGCCGUAAACAAUGUGCGUUGGGUGUGUCGGUAACCACGCGUUACUGAUGCGCCGAAGAGAAAUCGUGAAACGCACCACCUGGGAAGUACGGUCGCAAGGCUGAAACUUAAAGGAAUUGGCGGGGGAGCACCACAACAGGUGGAGCCUGCGGUUUAAUUGGACUCAACGCCGGAAAUCUCACCGGAUAGGACAGACAUAUGAUAGUCGGGCUGAAGACUCUACUUGAUGAUCUGAGAGGAGGUGCAUGGCGUCAGUGACU
This 261-nucleotide ribosomal RNA is filed under the name uncultured archaeon. RNAcentral describes it as "partial 16S ribosomal RNA". It matches the Rfam family "Archaeal small subunit ribosomal RNA", at positions 748 to 1008 of the family's 1478-position model. The record is from RNAcentral.